ACGGGGUGCAGCAGGCGCGAAAACUUCGCAAUGGGGGCAACCCCGACGAGGGAAUUCCAAGUGCCAGCACUUUGUGUUGGCUGUUCUCUUGUCUAAAAAACAAGAGGAGUAAGGGGCGGGUAAGACGGGUGCCAGCCGCCGCGGUAAUACCCGCGCCCCAAGUGGUGGUCGAUAUUAUUGAGCCUAAAACGUCCGUAGCCGGUCUUUUAAAUCCUUGGGUAAAUCGGGCAGCUUAACUGUCCGACUUCCGAGGAGACUGGAAGACUUGGGACCGGGAGAGGUCAGAGGUACUUCUGGGGUAGGGGUAAAAUCCUGUAAUCCUGGAAGGACCACCGGUGGCGAAGGCGUCUGACUAGAACGGAUCCGACGGUGAGGGACGAAGCCCUGGGGCGCAAACGGGAUUAGAUACCCGUGUAGUCC
RNAcentral lists this ribosomal RNA (420 nucleotides) under uncultured archaeon. RNAcentral describes it as "bacterial SSU rRNA". It matches the Rfam family "Archaeal small subunit ribosomal RNA", at positions 325 to 747 of the family's 1478-position model. The record is from RNAcentral.